Molecule: ribosomal RNA, 243 nt
Filed under: uncultured bacterium
Lineage: Bacteria
Description: partial 16S ribosomal RNA
Rfam family: Bacterial small subunit ribosomal RNA
Source: RNAcentral
GCAAGUCGAGCGCGAACGGUCUUCGGGCUUAUUAGAGCGGCGGACGGGUGAGUAAUGCUUGGGAAUCUACCUAGUAGUGGGGGACAACAGUUGGAAACGACUGCUAAUACCGCAUACGCCCUACGGGGGAAAGGGGGGGAUCUUCGGACCUCUCGCUAUUGGAUGAGCCCAAGUCGGAUUAGCUAGUUGGUAGGGUAAUGGCUUACCAAGGCGACGAUCCGUAGCUGGUUUGAGAGGAUGAUC